UACGGGGGGGGCAAGCGUUGUUCGGAAUUACUGGGCGUAAAGGGCUUGUAGGUGGCCAACUAAGUCAGACGUGAAAUCCCUCGGCUUAACCGGGGAACUGCGUCUGAUACUGGAUGGCUAGAGUGGGGGAGAGGGAUGCGGAAUUCCAGGUGUAGCGGCGAAAUGCGUAGAUAUCUGGAGGAACACCGGUGGCGAAGGCGGCAUCCUGGACCACGACUGACACUGAAAAGCGAAAGCCAGGGGAGCAAACGGG
RNAcentral lists this ribosomal RNA (253 nucleotides) under uncultured bacterium. Its description in RNAcentral is "partial 16S ribosomal RNA". It matches the Rfam family "Bacterial small subunit ribosomal RNA", at positions 524 to 776 of the family's 1533-position model. The record is from RNAcentral.